GGCAAGAGCUCAAAUUUGAAAUCCGGCCCCCCUGGGGGCCUGAGUUGUAAUUUGCAGAGGAUGCUUCGGGCGCGACCGCGGUCCAAGUCCCCUGGAACGGGGCGUCGUAGAGGGUGAGAAUCCCGUCUCCGGCCGGCCGGUCUCGCCCGUGUGAAGCUCCUUCGACGAGUCGAGUUGUUUGGGAAUGCAGCUCCAAAUGGGUGGUAAAUUUCAUCUAAAGCUAAAUACUGGUCGGAGACCGAUAGCGCACAAGUAGAGUGAUCGAAAGAUGAAAAGCACUUUGAAAAGAGAGUUAAACAGCAUGUGAAAUUGUUGAAAGGGAAGCGCUUGCGACCAGAGUCGGCCGCGGGGGUUCAGCGGGCAUUCGUUGCCCGUGCAAUCCCCCGCGGCCGGGCCAGCGUCGGUUUCGACGGCCGGUCAAAGGCCCCCGGAAUGUGUCGCCUCUCGGGGCGUCUUAUAGCCGGGGUGCAAUGCGGCCAGUCGGGACCGAGGAACGCGCUCCGGCACGGACGCU
RNAcentral lists this ribosomal RNA (514 nucleotides) under Histoplasma capsulatum. RNAcentral describes it as "eukaryotic LSU rRNA". It matches the Rfam family "Eukaryotic large subunit ribosomal RNA", at positions 100 to 627 of the family's 3401-position model. The record is from RNAcentral. Lineage: Eukaryota; Fungi; Ascomycota; Eurotiomycetes; Onygenales; Ajellomycetaceae.